GACGAACGCUGGCGGCGUGCCUAACACAUGCAAGUCGAGCGGAGUCAGUAAGAGGAAGUUUUCGGAUGGAAUCUUAUUGAUUUAGCGGCGGACGGGUGAGUAACGCGUGAGCGACCAACCUUGCACAGGGGGAUAACGGACCGAAAGGUUCACUAAUACCGCAUGAGACCACGGUGUUGCAUGACACAGAGGUCAAAGGAGCAAUCCGGUGCAAGACGGGCUCGCGUCCGAUUAGGUAGUUGGAGGGGUAACGGCCCACCAAGCCUAUGAUCGGUAGCCGACCUGAGAGGGUGAUCGGCCACAUUGGAACUGAGAUACGGUCCAAACUCCUACGGGAGGCAGCAGUGGGGAAUCUUAGACAAUGGGGGAAACCCUGAUCUAGCCAUGCCGCGUGAUCGAUGAAGGCCUUAGGGUUGUAAAGAUCUUUCAGUGGGGAAGAUAAUGACUGUACCCACAGAAGAAGCCCCGGCUAACUCCGUGCCAGCCGCCGCGGUAA
This 496-nucleotide ribosomal RNA is filed under the name uncultured bacterium. RNAcentral describes it as "partial 16S ribosomal RNA". It matches the Rfam family "Bacterial small subunit ribosomal RNA", at positions 28 to 523 of the family's 1533-position model. The record is from RNAcentral.